UGGACGCUUAGCUCAGCUGGGAGAGCAUCUGCCUUACAAGCAGGAGGUCACAGGUUCGAUCCCUGUAGCGUCCAU
This 75-nucleotide transfer RNA is filed under the name Oenococcus oeni. Its description in RNAcentral is "tRNA-Val". It matches the Rfam family "tRNA". From Rfam's summary of the family: Transfer RNA (tRNA) molecules are approximately 80 nucleotides in length. RNAcentral also lists the same sequence under 1 other name. The record is from RNAcentral. Lineage: Bacteria; Bacillati; Bacillota; Bacilli; Lactobacillales; Lactobacillaceae.